CCGGCGCGGGUGAGUAACACGUAUCCAACCUGCCGUCUACUCUUGGACAGCCUUCUGAAAGGAAGAUUAAUACAAGAUGGCAUCAUGAGUUCACAUGUUCACAUGAUUAAAGGUAUUCCGGUAGACGAUGGGGAUGCGUUCCAUUAGAUAGUAGGCGGGGUAACGGCCCACCUAGUCUUCGAUGGAUAGGGGUUCUGAGAGGAAGGUCCCCCACAUUGGAACUGAGACACGGUCCAA
RNAcentral lists this ribosomal RNA (237 nucleotides) under uncultured bacterium. RNAcentral's name for it is "partial 16S ribosomal RNA". It matches the Rfam family "Bacterial small subunit ribosomal RNA", at positions 103 to 334 of the family's 1533-position model. The record is from RNAcentral.